AAAGCGCUAUCUAUAACUAUAUCAAUAGAUAGCGCUUAUUUAAAAAAGCGUUAUUUAUAAUUAUUUGAUAUUAAUUUUUUAAUUAAUAAUUUAAAAUAUAUUAAUAGAUAGCGUUGUUUUAAACAUUAUUUAUACCAACUAGAUAGAUAUCGCUUUUCUAUUUAUUAGCAGAGAAUAAAUAUCGGUUUUUUUAGAAUAUGAGCGUGUUAAAAUAAUUUCAUUUCGCGGUUCUCCUUCAAAUUAUAUUUUCGUUUUCGUUUCUGGUUCGCGCUUCUCCCUCGAGGUGUUUAGGCGUUUUUGUUUCUUCGAUCAGUUUUUGUAAUCUUAAAUCUCGGUGGCUCUCGCGUCUUUACUCCGUUUCAGUUGCCGUGCGUGUGGCUUUCCGAGUUAGGCAUCUUUGCUCCAUUCCAGUUGGUGUUUUCGUCAGUGCCUCAAGUUGUAGCGCUAAUUCAUUACAAAUUUUCGUGCUUCCCCGUAACCUAGAAUUGUAAGAGUUGUAUCACUCACUUGAAAAUCUCUUUAGAACUGAAAAAUAAGUCGCACCUGCUUCUUCCUUCUCCAUGACAAAGAAAGAUUGUUGAUUCAUUCGAAACCCUUGCCCAGGCUCCAUACGAGAUGAAAACCCUAGUCGAGGUCCACCACUCGUGCUUCAAUCGCUCGCGGCUCG
Molecule: long non-coding RNA, 667 nt
Filed under: Vigna radiata
Lineage: Eukaryota; Viridiplantae; Streptophyta; Magnoliopsida; Fabales; Fabaceae
Description: long non-coding RNA (VRAD_LNC015962)
Source: RNAcentral